GGUGGCUCAGUGGUAGAGAGCUUGCCUUGCAUGCAUGAGGCCCAGGUUCAAUUCCUAAACACCA
Dipodomys ordii (Ord's kangaroo rat) is the source of this 64-nucleotide non-coding RNA. The record is from Rfam. Lineage: Eukaryota; Metazoa; Chordata; Mammalia; Rodentia; Heteromyidae.